UCCGAGUUGUCCCCGGCAGUCCUCUUAGAGUCCCCGGCAUUACCCGCUGGCAACUAAGAGCAGGGGUUGCGCUCGUUGCGGCACUUAAGCCAACACCUCACGGCACGAGCUGACGACAGCCAUGCAGCACCUGUGCUAGCCCCUUACGGACACGGGCUUUCACCCGCUUUAACUAGCAUGUCAAACCCAGGUAAGGUGGGGAUGACGUUACGGUCUUACU
This 220-nucleotide unclassified non-coding RNA is filed under the name uncultured Actinomycetes bacterium. RNAcentral's name for it is "uncultured actinobacterium contains 16S-23S intergenic spacer region". The record is from RNAcentral. Lineage: Bacteria; Bacillati; Actinomycetota; Actinomycetes.